GAGUUGAGGGUACCCGAAGUCGCUAGUCUAACCCGUAAGGGAGGGCGGUGCCGAAGGUAUGCUUGGUGAGGAGGGUGAAGUCGUAACAAGGUAGCCGUACCGGAAGGUGCGGCUGGAUCACCUCCUUUCUAAGAGAAAGGUUUUACAAAAUCGCUUUAUUAGUUGUACAUAAAGCGUUACGCUUUUCUUCUUUCCUCUUUCUCCUUUUUUAUAUAUUGGGCCUGUAGCUCAGUUGGUUAGAGCACU
RNAcentral lists this unclassified non-coding RNA (246 nucleotides) under uncultured Treponema sp. Its description in RNAcentral is "partial contains 16S ribosomal RNA, 16S-23S ribosomal RNA intergenic spacer, and 23S ribosomal RNA". The stretch from base 1 to 128 matches the Rfam family "Bacterial small subunit ribosomal RNA", at positions 1408 to 1533 of the family's 1533-position model. Lineage: Bacteria; Pseudomonadati; Spirochaetota; Spirochaetia; Treponematales; Treponemataceae. The record is from RNAcentral.